Non-coding RNA from Pelobates cultripes (western spadefoot toad), 209 nucleotides. The record is from the annotation of a GenBank genome assembly. NCBI's taxonomy places the organism in Eukaryota, Metazoa, Chordata, Amphibia, Anura, Pelobatidae.
GGCCUUCACAUCUAGUAAUGGCUCACUGCUGCAAGUUCAACAUCAUAUCCACCAAGGAAGAAAAGGAAGCAACAGAGUGUAACAUGGUUCACCAUGCUAGCACAUGGCGCCUGCACAUCUGCUCUGCAGCACAGCCAAGAAGGAACAGAGAGGAAUAGGGAUAGGGGGAAGUGGUGACUUGUAAAGGUAUUGAAUUACCCAAUUACCAU